This is a non-coding RNA of Nicotiana tabacum (common tobacco), 1337 nucleotides long. NCBI's taxonomy places the organism in Eukaryota, Viridiplantae, Streptophyta, Magnoliopsida, Solanales, Solanaceae. The record is from RefSeq and is a predicted model, not a curated record.
AUUGUUAAAAGGUGGGGAGCAGAUUCGAGAUUGUGAUUAUUGUUAUACUUUCCCUCCCCAGCUCGUUGGUCUCAAUCAACCUCAUUUGAACAAUCUCCUCGAGUUCCCACCUCUCCAGCAUAAUUUUAAGUCUGUAAAGGUACUGUUAUUGAAGUGCGUAAACGUGACAAGUGAAGUUCUUCCUACGAAAUUGUCCAUAUCUUGAAGAAAUGGUGGUUUAUGCAGCGGCAACGUUGGUAAAUUUGGAUGUUGUUGGUCCUUCCCUCAAGUUGAAACACAUGGGGAUAUGGUCCUGCCCCGAUUUAAAAUCACUUAAAAUCCGUGAUACAAACCUUGUAACGCUUGGGACUACAUCAGGGAACAGAUUAUUGCUUUCGAAUGUUCCUAUGCUGAUUGAGGUAGACAUUAUUAGCUUCUCAAGUACUUUGGAUAACGUAUUGGUUUGGCUGGGGUUUCCUGUGUUUUCUCUCAGCUAGAGGUCCUCAAAAUAACUGCUAAUAUGGGAUUGAAAUAUAUGGGGCAUUACAAGUUUCCUGAAUUGACCAAGCUCAAGAAAUUUGUUGUAUGUGUUCGUGCAUGGGAAGGCAUGAGUGUAUUAGGUUGGGAACAUGUGAUUGAGGCUGCUCCAUUGUUGGAGGAAUUUGAGUUGAAGUGGCAGUUGAAGUGGGCGAAACCCACGAGGUCAAAAAGAGAGUGUAGGAAGGCUGCAAGAUGUCCCCUCCAUCACCUCAAAGUGCUCAGGCUGAGUGGAUAUUAUGGGCGUACCAGUGAAGUUGAACUCGUUAGGUAUUUCUUGGAAAAUGCAAUUGCGCUCCAGAAAAUCAUUGUUGAUCCCCGACCUCAACAUGUCUAUUAUGUCUCUUUUUCACUUGACAAAAGUGAGGAGGAGCAAAUGGCAAGACAAUUUGCUAAGCUCCAGCUUGAAGACUACGAAGCGGCAAUUUUGAUUUAGAAGAUUGACAAAUUUGAUUUUGUUGCUUGCACGGUGGGAGCAUUUUUUUGGUGUAGUUUUCUUUGCCUCUGUUGAGAUAGGUCUUUUAAUUGUGGCCUCCAAUAUCAUAUAUGCUAAGAUUCUCCCCCAAAUCACAACGCCACAAACAGCUAUUCUUGGAAGGAUCCCCAGAACAAAUGUAUAUAGGAACAUUCAUCAACAGAGGGUCUUAUACCUUCCAUUUCAUAACUUUCUUACAAGGAAUUGGAAUUGGUUCGCAAGGCUUUGAAUCUUGCUUUUGAGGCGCAUGAUGGUCAAAAGCGUCGUAGUGGAGAGCCCUUUAUUAUUCACCCAGUUGCAGUUGCACAGAUCCUUGGACAGCUUGUAAGUUGUGCGAACUAUUGUA